RNAcentral lists this ribosomal RNA (445 nucleotides) under uncultured bacterium. RNAcentral describes it as "bacterial SSU rRNA". It matches the Rfam family "Bacterial small subunit ribosomal RNA", at positions 354 to 796 of the family's 1533-position model. The record is from RNAcentral.
GUGAGGAAUAUUGGACAAUGGGUGAGAGCCUGAUCCAGCCAUCCCGCGUGAAGGAUUAAGGUCCUAUGGAUUGUAAACUUCUUUUCUACAGGGAUAAACCUACUCUCGUGAGGGUAGCUGAAGGUACUGUAGGAAUAAGCACCGGCUAACUCCGUGCCAGCAGCCGCGGUAAUACGGAGGGUGCAAGCGUUAUCCGGAUUUAUUGGGUUUAAAGGGUCCGUAGGCGGGUCUGUAAGUCAGUGGUGAAAUCUCGCAGCUUAACUGUGAAACUGCCAUUGAUACUGCAGGUCUUGAGUGUAGUUGAGGUAGCUGGAAUAAGUAGUGUAGCGGUGAAAUGCAUAGAUAUUACUUAGAACACCAAUUGCGAAGGCAGGUUACCAAGUUACAACUGACGCUGAUGGACGAAAGCGUGGGGAGCGAACAGGAUUAGAAACCCCAGUAGUCC